AUUGUCCGGGCCCCACGAUCAUGGCUUAUAGCGUAAACGCUUUGUUCGUUCGGCUCGCGCGACUU
This is a non-coding RNA of Saccoglossus kowalevskii, 65 nucleotides long. The record is from Rfam. Lineage: Eukaryota; Metazoa; Hemichordata; Enteropneusta; Harrimaniidae.